AUCCUGGCUCAGGGAUGAACGCUAGCGGCAGGGCUUUAACGACAUGGCAAGUCGAGGGGCAGCGAGGGUAGCAAUACCUGUCGGCGACCGGCGGAAGGGUGCGUAACGCGUGAGCAACUUGCCCGUAUCUGGGGGAUAGUCAUUGGAAACGAUGCGUAAUACCCCAUAACAACAGAGGCUGCAUGACCUUUGUUUGAAAGCUUUUUGUGGAUACGGAUAGGCUCGCGAGACAUUAGCUAGUUGGUGGGGUAACGGCCCACCAAGGCGACGAUGUCUAGGGGUUCUGAGAGAAGGUCCCCACAUUGGAACUGAGACACGGUCCAAACUCCUACGGAGGCAGCAGUGAGGAAUAUUGGUCAAUGGCCGGAAGGCUGAACCAGCCAUGCCGCGUGCAGGAAUAAGGCCCUAUGGGUCGUAAACUGCUUUUGUGGUGGAGCAAUAAGGCGUACGUGUACGUCGAUGAGAGUACAUCACGAAUAAGCAUCGGCUAACUCCGUGCC
Molecule: ribosomal RNA, 500 nt
Filed under: uncultured bacterium
Lineage: Bacteria
Description: bacterial SSU rRNA
Rfam family: Bacterial small subunit ribosomal RNA
Source: RNAcentral